UGGGGAAUAUUGGACAAUGGGGGCAACCCUGAUCCAGCAAUGCCGCGUGUGUGAAGAAGGUCUUCGGAUUGUAAAGCACUUUCGACGGGGACGAUGAUGACGGUACCCGUAGAAGAAGCCCCGGCUAACUUCGUGCCAGCAGCCGCGGUAAUACGAAGGGGGCUAGCGUUGCUCGGAAUGACUGGGCGUAAAGGGCGUGUAGGCGGUUUACACAGUCAGAUGUGAAAUCCCCGGGCUUAACCUGGGAGCUGCAUUUGAUACGUGUAGACUAGAGUGUGAGAGAGGGUUGUGGAAUUCCCAGUGUAGAGGUGAAAUUCGUAGAUAUUGGGAAGAACACCGGUGGCGAAGGCGGCAACCUGGCUCAUGACUGACGCUGAGGCGCGAAAGCGUGGGGAGCAAACAGGAUUAGAUACCCUGGUAGUCCACGCUGUAAACGAUGUGUGCUAGAUGUUGGGUAACUUUGUUAUUCAGUGUCGCAGUUAACGCGUUAAGCACACCGC
RNAcentral lists this ribosomal RNA (500 nucleotides) under uncultured bacterium. RNAcentral's name for it is "partial 16S ribosomal RNA". It matches the Rfam family "Bacterial small subunit ribosomal RNA", at positions 355 to 872 of the family's 1533-position model. The record is from RNAcentral.